UCAUUAUUAAAUUGUGAGAAAAUGAUAGAACUACUGACAUCAUCCCACAACACUCAGUUACUUUGUUUGUUUGGCAUCGAAGGCAUUCUAAAAGAGGAUUUAAUCUCGUCCGACGUGGCUCUUAGUCUUCUCAGCUCUCACCUUACAUCAAUGCAGGGUAGUCAAGAUAAAGCUAUCAGGACAAAGUCUCUCAAGAUUUUACGUCAGUUGGAGAGGCUUGAAGCUGACACCAGUCUAGAUCAGCCACUGAUGCCAGAGAGCAAGCUCAUGUCCCAGUCAGUAUUAGAGGCUGCUGAGGCUGAAAUACCAGCAUCCUUGGCUAACACAACUCCACUGAAAACUGUUCUGCCAAGAGAUGCCUUUUCUUCCUCAGACGGAGCACCAAAAUCAUCUGGAGGAUCUUUGUUCAGUGGUAUGACCGUAUCGACCAGAUCGCCAGUAGCUCCUGGAGGGAAGACCUCAACAGGGAUGUCUUCGAGUUCUGCCAGUAGGCACAAGGAAGCUAAAGAAGGACAUUCAGUAGCUGAUCUGCUAAUAGACACCCAGUUCAUGUCAAAGUCAGACUCGUCAGAAACAAACUUACUCCUUUCUGACACCAAGCCAAGUUCAGUAACAAAUAAUCGGACACAAGGAGAGUUCACACAGGUAAUGAGUGCACCUGCUGCUUAUAGCUUAAGUAAUGGAAACCCUGGAGCAACACCAGUACACCAGAAAUCUGUUGAUCCAGAGGCAUCUCAGCACAGUAGGAUGGAUCCUAUAAUGUCCAGAGAGGCAGGGUUCGCUGACCUGUGGAACACGGUGUCCCCCAAGGAAGCAUCUUCUGACCCAAAGGCUUCAUCAAACCAAGUUCUCUCACAGCUCAGUACAGCAACGCCACAGGUUGAUAUGCCUUCACAACAUCCUCAUCCUAGCAUGACCUUACAACAGCCAGUCAUGUCAGCACAGCAUAUUUCCCAGAUGUACCCUCAGCUAUCAUCGAUCACCCUGAGUGGGAUGACCUCGACACCGAUCAAUCUUGCCAAAAAACCAACCACGGGUUUGGAUUUGUUGUGGACAAUGAUGAUGAGAAGCAGAAAGCAGGAGCAAGUAGAGAUGCCUUUAGUUUCAUCCAAGAUGCAAUGAAAAAUAGCAAAUCAUGAUGACUAAUUAAAGAGGAAAUUAACCUUCCAUGAGAUACCCGUACAUGUAGAGACAACUGUAGUGAUUGGCCUCCUAUCAGUUUAGAAUAUAAGCCCCUUAAAAACAGUUUGAACACUCAAGUUGAAUCAAUUUUUAGCUCUCUCGUCGUGGCAUAAUUAAUCAUCACUUGAUUAUUAUCAUUAGAUAUUGUGUCUAUUCCUCUUUAAAAUUACGCCAUAUAUUAACAAUUUUCCAGCCAGAGAGUGAGUAGCACAACAUAAUAUAGGGCGGGGUAAAGAGGUGAUCACUGCAUGGUAUUGGUAUGCAUAGCACUCUUUUUUUUCUUUGACACAAGUGUGAUUUUUGUUAAUGACAUUGAGGCUUUUGUUUCCCAACUGGUCAUCCUUGAAUGGCAAAUUCUGAAGAAUCUGAUAUUGAAAUUCAUGCAUUAUGGUGAC
This is a long non-coding RNA of Strongylocentrotus purpuratus (purple sea urchin), 1577 nucleotides long. RefSeq lists it as uncharacterized. The record is from RefSeq and is a predicted model, not a curated record. The transcript is spliced from 3 exons. NCBI's taxonomy places the organism in Eukaryota, Metazoa, Echinodermata, Echinoidea, Camarodonta, Strongylocentrotidae.